Molecule: ribosomal RNA, 406 nt
Filed under: uncultured bacterium
Lineage: Bacteria
Description: partial 16S ribosomal RNA
Rfam family: Bacterial small subunit ribosomal RNA
Source: RNAcentral
AUUGAACGCUGGCGGCAGGCCUAACACAUGCAAGUCGAGCGAGCGGCGGACGGGUGAGUAAUGUAUGGGGAUCUGCCCGAUAGAGGGGGAUAACUACUGGAAACGGUGGCUAAUACCGCAUACUGUCGGAUGAACCCAUAUGGGAUUAGCUAGUAGGUAAGGUAAUGGCUUACCUAGGCGAAGAUCCCGAGCUGGUCUGCGAGGAUGAUCAGCCCAACUGGGACGGAGACACGGCCCGUACGCUUACGGGAGGCAGCAGUGGGGAAUAUUGCACAAUGGGCGAAAGCCUGAUGCAGCACUGCCGCGUGUAUGAAGAAGGCCUUCGGUUUUUAAAGUACUUUCAGCGGGGAGGCGUUACCCGCAGAAGAAGCACCGGCUAACUCCGUGCCAGCAGCCGCGGUAAUAC